This 2558-nucleotide ribosomal RNA is filed under the name Escherichia coli. RNAcentral's name for it is "partial 23S ribosomal RNA". It matches the Rfam family "Bacterial large subunit ribosomal RNA", at positions 398 to 2925 of the family's 2925-position model. The record is from RNAcentral. Lineage: Bacteria; Pseudomonadati; Pseudomonadota; Gammaproteobacteria; Enterobacterales; Enterobacteriaceae.
UGUGAGCUCGAUGAGUAGGGCGGGACACGUGGUAUCCUGUCUGAAUAUGGGGGGACCAUCCUCCAAGGCUAAAUACUCCUGACUGACCGAUAGUGAACCAGUACCGUGAGGGAAAGGCGAAAAGAACCCCGGCGAGGGGAGUGAAAAAGAACCUGAAACCGUGUACGUACAAGCAGUGGGAGCCUCUUUUAUGGGGUGACUGCGUACCUUUUGUAUAAUGGGUCAGCGACUUAUAUUCUGUAGCAAGGUUAACCGAAUAGGGGAGCCGAAGGGAAACCGAGUCUUAACUGGGCGUUAAGUUGCAGGGUAUAGACCCGAAACCCGGUGAUCUAGCCAUGGGCAGGUUGAAGGUUGGGUAACACUAACUGGAGGACCGAACCGACUAAUGUUGAAAAAUUAGCGGAUGACUUGUGGCUGGGGGUGAAAGGCCAAUCAAACCGGGAGAUAGCUGGUUCUCCCCGAAAGCUAUUUAGGUAGCGCCUCGUGAAUUCAUCUCCGGGGGUAGAGCACUGUUUCGGCAAGGGGGUCAUCCCGACUUACCAACCCGAUGCAAACUGCGAAUACCGGAGAAUGUUAUCACGGGAGACACACGGCGGGUGCUAACGUCCGUCGUGAAGAGGGAAACAACCCAGACCGCCAGCUAAGGUCCCAAAGUCAUGGUUAAGUGGGAAACGAUGUGGGAAGGCCCAGACAGCCAGGAUGUUGGCUUAGAAGCAGCCAUCAUUUAAAGAAAGCGUAAUAGCUCACUGGUCGAGUCGGCCUGCGCGGAAGAUGUAACGGGGCUAAACCAUGCACCGAAGCUGCGGCAGCGACACUAUGUGUUGUUGGGUAGGGGAGCGUUCUGUAAGCCUGUGAAGGUGUGCUGUGAGGCAUGCUGGAGGUAUCAGAAGUGCGAAUGCUGACAUAAGUAACGAUAAAGCGGGUGAAAAGCCCGCUCGCCGGAAGACCAAGGGUUCCUGUCCAACGUUAAUCGGGGCAGGGUGAGUCGACCCCUAAGGCGAGGCCGAAAGGCGUAGUCGAUGGGAAACAGGUUAAUAUUCCUGUACUUGGUGUUACUGCGAAGGGGGGACGGAGAAGGCUAUGUUGGCCGGGCGACGGUUGUCCCGGUUUAAGCGUGUAGGCUGGUUUUCCAGGCAAAUCCGGAAAAUCAAGGCUGAGGCGUGAUGACGAGGCACUACGGUGCUGAAGCAACAAAUGCCCUGCUUCCAGGAAAAGCCUCUAAGCAUCAGGUAACAUCAAAUCGUACCCCAAACCGACACAGGUGGUCAGGUAGAGAAUACCAAGGCGCUUGAGAGAACUCGGGUGAAGGAACUAGGCAAAAUGGUGCCGUAACUUCGGGAGAAGGCACGCUGAUAUGUAGGUGAAGCGACUUGCUCGUGGAGCUGAAAUCAGUCGAAGAUACCAGCUGGCUGCAACUGUUUAUUAAAAACACAGCACUGUGCAAACACGAAAGUGGACGUAUACGGUGUGACGCCUGCCCGGUGCCGGAAGGUUAAUUGAUGGGGUCAGCGCAAGCGAAGCUCUUGAUCGAAGCCCCGGUAAACGGCGGCCGUAACUAUAACGGUCCUAAGGUAGCGAAAUUCCUUGUCGGGUAAGUUCCGACCUGCACGAAUGGCGUAAUGAUGGCCAGGCUGUCUCCACCCGAGACUCAGUGAAAUUGAACUCGCUGUGAAGAUGCAGUGUACCCGCGGCAAGACGGAAAGACCCCGUGAACCUUUACUAUAGCUUGACACUGAACAUUGAGCCUUGAUGUGUAGGAUAGGUGGGAGGCUUAGAAGUGUGGACGCCAGUCUGCAUGGAGCCGACCUUGAAAUACCACCCUUUAAUGUUUGAUGUUCUAACGUGGACCCGUGAUCCGGGUUGCGGACAGUGUCUGGUGGGUAGUUUGACUGGGGCGGUCUCCUCCUAAAGAGUAACGGAGGAGCACGAAGGUUGGCUAAUCCUGGUCGGACAUCAGGAGGUUAGUGCAAUGGCAUAAGCCAGCUUGACUGCGAGCGUGACGGCGCGAGCAGGUGCGAAAGCAGGUCAUAGUGAUCCGGUGGUUCUGAAUGGAAGGGCCAUCGCUCAACGGAUAAAAGGUACUCCGGGGAUAACAGGCUGAUACCGCCCAAGAGUUCAUAUCGACGGCGGUGUUUGGCACCUCGAUGUCGGCUCAUCACAUCCUGGGGCUGAAGUAGGUCCCAAGGGUAUGGCUGUUCGCCAUUUAAAGUGGUACGCGAGCUGGGUUUAGAACGUCGUGAGACAGUUCGGUCCCUAUCUGCCGUGGGCGCUGGAGAACUGAGGGGGGCUGCUCCUAGUACGAGAGGACCGGAGUGGACGCAUCACUGGUGUUCGGGUUGUCAUGCCAAUGGCACUGCCCGGUAGCUAAAUGCGGAAGAGAUAAGUGCUGAAAGCAUCUAAGCACGAAACUUGCCCCGAGAUGAGUUCUCCCUGACCCUUUAAGGGUCCUGAAGGAACGUUGAAGACGACGACGUUGAUAGGCCGGGUGUGUAAGCGCAGCGAUGCGUUGAGCUAACCGGUACUAAUGAACCGUGAGGCUUAACCUUACAACGCCGAAG